GAAAAACUCUGCAUUGGUGCCCAUCACGAAUGACAGAAGACAGAGAUAAUGUGGCGCCUUGAAGUUUGUCACACUGGAGGGUCAACAUCCCUAACCCGCCCCUUCCCCGCCCGUUUCCCCGUCUAACUGCCUCAGGAUCCUGUAUCAUUGGAAGACGGUUCUUCAGGACACUAGUCUGCCAUCUUCCGACAAUGCUGGCUAAUCGUCUUUUGACUGCAUUUCGUUGGAAUACUAGGACAAAUGAAGACGGUUUCGAUUUUGGGACGGGCUCUCGCGAGUCCACACGGAAGACGGUAGGCCUUGGAGCAGACGUUUACGUUUCCGCUUGAGAUCCGUUAUUUCACCAGUUUCUGCUGCCAGAACCUGUGCCUUGUCAUCUUCUUGAAGCAGGGAAACAGAUCAGGUUUUUCAUCAACUUUACACAGAACAUACAAGUACUGGAGAGAGGAAAGAUGACUUCGCUCCAAGGGCACAGCUCUGUACCACGGCGUCACUUUGCAGGGGACAUCAGGUAGUGCCUGCCAACGCCAGCUGACAAUCAUUCCUGUGAGCCGUGGCCUCAUCACUUCACCUUCACACUCCUUUGCACAACGAGGGGGGCUUUCAAGGGUCUUCGCUUUGAACGAAUCACAUUCACGUGGGCAUUUCCAACGCAGGCCACCCCACUGUGACAACAGGUCAGGCCUCAGUGCUGUGCCUAAGAGAACAAUGGACGGUGUGAGCUGCUGGCAAGGGGCACAAGGUGAGGGGUCAAUCCUCAAAGGGCUAACGAGCAAAUUUUUCCAAUUUCAGAAGUCUGAGUGAGUAAAUGGGCCCGUUGGAGAUUUUUGCUUAUGUACACACCUGAAUUCUCCAGGAGGACCUGUCUGCAUGUGAGACUCGGCUAUUUUGAAGCCACUUAAAAUAACUUCAAAUCCUUGUUUUGCCUGGAAACACCACAACGAGAAGCGAAUUAAGCAAAAGAGAGGGCUGCGGUCUGUGAGCAUGAAGGGGAACUUGCUCCCGGCGUGAGGAUUUGGCAGCCCCUGGGGGCCUUCGUAAGCAGACUCACGGUGGUGAAACCCACUUUAAUUUGCCAAGUGAGUCCUUAAGUCUCCUUUGUAAAAGUUCUUCAAGAGGCAAUGCCUUCCGGGAAAGAGGCGAGCUUUUGUACCAAGACACAAUCGGGCAGUAACGAGCCGCCAGGGGGUCGUGAGAGCGAGCAUUGUUGAGUAAAACAGGCAGUGAUGGGUGUGCGCCAGCGGUUCAGGACACGGUCUGUUUCUCCUCUUCUUAACAGACAAUGACGGCUUCGCUCUUUCUGAUGAGAAAAAUCAUCAAUCGCAGGGAGUUUCCUCUGCGACAAAAAUGUUUUUAAUACAUCAUUAAAGAGUAAACGAUAUUGACCAUGGUCUAAUGGUUGGCCUGCAACCUAGAAAUAAAGUCAGAGCUAAUUACACCAGCAUAACAACAAGCCUGCUUGUGGCCGUGAAGACUGUGUACACUCGGGGUACCUGCCCAGUGGUCUAGUCAGGGGUACCUGCCUGGUGCACACUCAGGGGUACCUGCCUGGAGUAUACUCAGGUGUGCCUACCUGGUG
Long non-coding RNA from Equus caballus (horse), 1579 nucleotides. The record is from Ensembl. NCBI's taxonomy places the organism in Eukaryota, Metazoa, Chordata, Mammalia, Perissodactyla, Equidae.